Molecule: unclassified non-coding RNA, 310 nt
Filed under: Hevea brasiliensis (rubber tree)
Lineage: Eukaryota; Viridiplantae; Streptophyta; Magnoliopsida; Malpighiales; Euphorbiaceae
Source: RNAcentral
GGUGUUCAUAUGAUCCCCAAUUAAACACGCAUUGAAAAGGUGAAAAGCAGAAGACAAAGGCAUGUUGGUUCCUUCUCAACGUGCAUGAUUCGGUCUUGGAGGUGUUGUUAUAGUGGAACCCAUCAUGCUCAUUUGGUUCAUAACACCCUUGGCAUGGUCUCUUGAAUGCCCUGUGGAUGCAGUCCCCAAUUCAAAGUGGCAACUGGCAAUCAAACCCAACCUGUUGCCAUUCAUGGCCCUGAAAUGAGCUUUCGAUCAGUUUGGAAAGUAGUGGUUGGAUAGGACAAAGAGGAAAGCACUACUUUCAGCU